CGAGCGGGGAAUAACCAAGGGAAACCUUGGCUAAUACCGCAUAAUACCUACGGGUCAAAGGAGUAAUCCACUUGAGGAGGGGGUCGCGGCCGAUUAGCUAGUUGGCGGGGUAAUGGCCCACCAAGGCAGUGAUCGGUAUCCGGCCUGAGAGGGCGCACGGACACACUGGAACUGAAACACGGUCCAGACUCCUACGGGAGGCAGCAGUGGGGAAUUUUGCGCAAUGGGGGAAACCCUGACGCAGCAACGCCGCGUGGAGGAUGAAGUCCCUUGGGACGUAAACUCCUUUCGAUCGGGACGAUUAUGACGGUACCGGAAGAAGAAGCCCCGGCUAACUUCGUGCCAGCAGCCGCGGUAAUACGAGGGGGGCAAGCGUUGUUCGGAAUUAUUGGGCGUAAAGGGAGUGUAGGCGGUUUGGUAAGUCUCGUGUGAAAUCUUCAGGCUCAACCUGAAGUCUGCACGAGAAACUGCCGGGCUUGAGUA
Molecule: ribosomal RNA, 483 nt
Filed under: Acidobacteriaceae bacterium NH45
Lineage: Bacteria; Pseudomonadati; Acidobacteriota; Terriglobia; Terriglobales; Acidobacteriaceae
Description: bacterial SSU rRNA
Rfam family: Bacterial small subunit ribosomal RNA
Source: RNAcentral